Cryptomeria japonica (Japanese cedar) is the source of this 6520-nucleotide RNA transcript. RefSeq lists it as uncharacterized. The record is from RefSeq and is a predicted model, not a curated record. The transcript has 11 exons. Lineage: Eukaryota; Viridiplantae; Streptophyta; Pinopsida; Cupressales; Cupressaceae.
CUGCAGUAUAUUCCUAAUGAUUUCGGUGAGCUUGAGUCUCUCACGCACCUGGACAUGUCGGGGUGCUCUAAUCUGCAGUAUAUUCCUGAAGAUUUCGGUGAGCUUGAGUCUCUCACGUACCUGGACAUGUCGGGGUGCUCUAAUCUGCAGUUAGUUUCAAAUGAUUUCGGCCUGCAUCGAAAUAUACGUAUAUGUCAAAAGCGAGCAUGCUUUCCAAGUAGUUUCGGCAAGCUUAGUUGUUUGGAAGAGUUGAAUAUAAGUCUUUGUAAGCGACUGUCUAGACUUCCAGACGGAUUCGGUCAGCUCAAGUCUCUCAUGUACCUGCACAUGUCGGGGUGCUCUAAUCUGCGGUAUAUUCCUGAUGAUUUCGGUAAGCUUGAGUCUCUCACGCACCUGGACAUGUCGGGGUGCUCUAAUCUGGAGUUAGUUUCAAAUGAUUUCGGCCUGCCUAGUCAUUUGGAAAAGCUAAAUAUAAGUAAAUGUCAAAGGCUAGCAUGCCUUCCAAGUAGUUUUGGCAAGCUUAGUUGUUUGGAAGACUUGAAUAUAAGUUUUUGUGAGCGACUGUCUAGACUUCCUGAUGAAUUCGGUCAGCUCAAGUCUCUCACGUACCUUAACAUGUCGGGAUGUUCUAAUCUGAAGAUGGUUUCUGAUGAUUUCGAGCAGCUGUCCUCUGUAUGUUCAGUGGAUGCAUCAUAUUGUCCAAUAUUAGAUGGCAAGGCAAUGGACAAGCUUGUUGAGAUGAAGAGCCUGCAAGUAUUGAAUAUCCAGGAAAGCCCAAUGUUGGUAAAGAGGUGGAGAGAAGUAAAAGAAAGCUAUCCUCUAGUCGUAGUGGAUGAUGUAUUGCCUGGCUGCUAUCACGAGCAUCCCGUGUCCAGUGCAUUGUUUCAUCAAGAAAGUAGAUUCCUGCUUAAUGAUGGUUGUCUAAAGUUUUCUAAGGCGUCACCUGGUCCAGGACAGGUGGCACUUGUAUUAAGCAUGUGUGACAUGUCUUGGCCUUCCUUCGAGAUGGUGGAAGAGAAGAUUCCAGAGCUGGCUUCUCAAAGAUUUCAAAUUGUGUGUGUGUGUGUGGGGAAAAGGUGGAAGGAAUAUGUGGAACGCCUGCGGCUGGGUCAUCUACAUUUGCCUCGUGGCACCCGUGCAUGGAUCGCUCCUGACGAGAGAUGGAAUAUGUUAGCAGGAUAUUCUAUUUUCCAACUCAUUUCGCCACGUGGUGGACAAACCAUGGUGUCAGAUAUUCAUACUGUUAUUGCCAGCGCAUGCGUGUCUCUUGAUCGAAAAGGCAAAAAGUACGUGCACGAUAUAAAGUUGAAGUUCCCAGUUUCCGGCAAAGUUGAAGCAUUGAAAGAUGUACCCGGGGGUUUUCGUAGGCUAUUCUUUCCUAUGAGAGAGAUGGAGGACGGUUUGGUAUCUUUCGCUCCGGAAAGAGUUGAAGUUGGCAUCAAUAAGGAGCGAGUUGAAGUAAUCAAGCUUCUUGACUCGAUGGAUCAGUCAACAAGAGGUGUGGUCCUGUAUGGGAUUGGUGGUGUAGGGAAGACAACCCUGGCGAGUGCUGUCUUCAGCUCUCCGGAGCUCAAUGACUACAUACACUGCAGAAUCAAUAUUCACCAAGAUUGUUCAGAGUCUCAUAUUAAGCAGCUACAAGAGCAGGUUUUGAAAGACUUGUUUGGGAAAAAGAUUGAGAUAAUGAAUUGCGAAGAGGGUAAACAUCAUCUAUCAAAUUUGUUUAGAGAAGACAACUCCCAGCCUGUCUUUUUGUUUAUAGACAAUGCUUUGAGAGGAUGUGAUCUGGCAAAACUUCUUCCGCGGGACCUUUCUUGCCUUCCAAAUCGAAGCAGGAUACUAAUAACUACAAGAAAGCUAGAUGAGACUGACAUGAUCGAAGAUGCAGGUGUCAAGCGCUACGCAUUUAUCGUCAACCCUCUUUCAGACGCAGAAUCAAAAAAGCUUUUGUGGGGGAAGGCUUCAGGCACUGCUGACAAUAUUAUUCACAAAAGCUUAGAUGGGCCUAUUAACUCUGUUGUGAAAAUAUGCGGCGGCGUGCCUCUGGCGCUAGUGGCGGUAGGCCUCAGAUUGCGUAAAUUUGGCAACGAUGUCCCUGCUUAUGAAAGAACUAUUAAAUUUUUGAAGAAUUCCCUAGAAAAAGGAGAGGGAAAUUUAAGUGAAAAAAUAGUUGAUGUGGUGUACAACGCUUUGGAAGAAGAUUUAUACAAAGAUGCAUUUCUAGAUAUAGCAGCAUUUUUCAAUAAUUGGGAUGAGCGGACAGUGGGCUACAUUGUUGGAGAGGUGGCUCUUCAAGCCAUAAAAGAGGCCGCCUUGGUAAAGAUUACCGAAGAAGGGAAAGUUGUUGUACACGAUAUCGUUCAAGCCCGGGGAAGAAAGUUGUCAGAAAUGGAUAGAAUAACUGAUCACAAAUCCCUUAGAUAUGCUCUGCAGGAUGCACAGAGGCUUGAAAAAUUGAAAGGAAUUUGGCUUCCUCCUCCCGAUGAUUCCGACGAAUUUCAACUUGAAGCAAAACAUUUGGAAUUGAUGAAUAGAUCUUUAAGAAUUUUGCAUUUAGGCGAAAGAAACAGGUUGGAUGGAGAAAGCAAGGAAACCUUUCCAAAUCUAAGGUUGCUACACAUCACGGGUGAUUUAGGAAUGGAAUUGACAAAGCUUGAAAGACUGGCAGUUCUGCAAGCUGAUUUGGCGAACUACAAUCGGUUACCAGAUUCUCUCCGUCUCUCCUCAUUGAGAACGCUUAAUUUAAGAGGGAGUAAAUUAGUUUGCCUUCCAAACAGUUUUGGCAAGCUUAGUCGUUUAGAAGACUUGAACAUAAGUCAUUGUGAGCAACUGUCUAGGCUUCCUGAUGGAUUCGGUCAGCUCAAUUCCCUCACGUACCUGCACAUGUCGGGGUGCUCUAAUCUGGAGAUGGUUUCUGAUGAUUUCGAGCAGCUGUCCUCUGUAUGUUCAGUGGAUGCAUCAUAUUGUCCAAUAUUAGAUGGCAAGGCAAUGGACAAGCUUGUUGAGAUGAAGAGGCUGCAAGUGUUGAAUAUCCAGGAAAGCCCUAUGUUGGUAAAGAGGUGGAGAGAAGUAAAAGAAAGCUAUCCCGUAGUCGUAGUGGAUGAUGUAUUGCCUGGCUGCUAUCACGAGCAUCCCGUGUCCAGUGCACUAUUUCAUAAAGAGAGUAGAUUCCUGUUUAAUGACGGUGGUCUACAGAUUGCUGCUGAGUGGUCACCCAUGCCGGGACAGGUGGCAUUUAUAUUGAGCAUGUGUGACAUGUCUUGGCCUUCCUUCGAGAUGGUGAAAGCGGAGAUUGAAGACCUGGCUUCCCAAGGAUUUCAAAUAGUGCGUGUGUGUGUUGGGCAAAUGUGGAAGGAAUAUGUGGAACGCAUGCAGCUGGGUCAUGUACAUUUACCUCGUGGCACCCUCGCAUGGAUCGCUCCUGACGAGAGAUGGAAUAUGUUAGCAGGAUAUUCUAUUUUCCAACUCAUUUCGCAACGUGGUGGACAAACCAUUGGGUCAGAUAUUCAUACUGUUAUUGCCAGCGCAUGCGUGUCUCUUGAUCGAAAAGGAAAAAAGUACGUGCACGAUAUAAAGUUGAAGUUCCCAGUUUCCGGCAAAGUCGAAGCAUUGAAAGAUGUACACGGGGGUUUUCGUAGGCUAUUCUUUCCUAUGAGAGAGAUGGAGGACGGUUUGGUAUCUUUCGCUCCGGAAAGAGUUGAAGUUGGCAUCAAUAAGGAGCGAGUUGAAGUAAUCAAGCUUCUUGACUCGAUGGAUCAGUCAACAAGAGGUGUGGUCCUGUACGGGAUUGGUGGUGUAGGGAAGACAACCCUGGCGAGUGCUGUCUUCAACUCUCCGGAGCUCAAUGACUACAAACACUGCAGAAUCAAUAUUCACCAAGAUUGUUCAGAGUCUCAUAUUAAGCUGCUACAAGAGCAGGUUUUGAAAGACUUGUUUGGGAAAAAGAUUGAGAUAAUGAAUUGCGAAGAGGGUAAACAUCAUCUAUCAAAUUUGUUUAGAGAAGACAACUCCCAGCCUGUCUUUUUGUUUAUAGACAAUGCUUUGAGAGGAUGUGAUCUGGCAAAACUUCUUCCGCGGGACCUUUCUUGCCUUCCAAAUCGAAGCAGGAUACUAAUAACUACAAGAAAGCUAGAUGAGACUGACAUGAUCGAAGAUGCAGGUGUCAAGCGCUACGCAUUUAUCGUCAACCCUCUUUCAGACGCAGAAUCAAAAAAGCUUUUGUGGGGGAAGGCUUCAGGCACUGCUGACAAUAUUAUUCACAAAAGCUUAGAUGGGCCUAUUAACUCUGUUGUGAAAAUAUGCGGCGGCGUGCCUCUGGCGCUAGUGGCGGUAGGCCUCAGAUUGCGUAAAUUUGGCAACGAUGUCCCUGCUUAUGAAAGAACUAUUAAAUUUUUGAAGAAUUCCCUAGAAAAAGGAGAGGGAAAUUUAAGUGAAAAAAUAGUUGAUGUGGUGUACAACGCUUUGGAAGAAGAUUUAUACAAAGAUGCAUUUCUAGAUAUAGCAGCAUUUUUCAAUAAUUGGGAUGAGCGGACAGUGGGCUACAUUGUUGGAGAGGUGGCUCUUCAAGCCAUAAAAGAGGCCGCCUUGGUAAAGAUUACCGAAGAAGGGAAAGUUGUUGUACACGAUAUCGUUCAAGCCCGGGGAAGAAAGUUGUCAGAAAUGGAUAGAAUAACUGAUCACAAAUCCCUUAGAUAUGCUCUGCAGGAUGCACAGAGGCUUGAAAAAUUGAAAGGAAUUUGGCUUCCUCCUCCCGAUGAUUCCGACGAAUUUCAACUUGAAGCAAAACAUUUGGAAUUGAUGAAUAGAUCUUUAAGAAUUUUGCAUUUAGGCGAAAGAAACAGGUUGGAUGGAGAAAGCAAGGAAACCUUUCCAAAUCUAAGGUUGCUACACAUCACGGGUGAUUUAGGAAUGGAAUUGACAAAGCUUGAAAGACUGGCAGUUCUGCAAGCUGAUUUGGCGAACUACAAUCGGUUACCAGAUUCUCUCCGUCUCUCCUCAUUGAGAACGCUUAAUUUAAGAGGGAGUAAAUUAGUUUGCCUUCCAAACAGUUUUGGCAAGCUUAGUCGUUUGGAAGAGUUGAAUAUAAGUAAUUGUGAGCAACUGUCGAGACUUCCUGAGCGAUUGGGUCAGCUCAAGAAUCUCACAUAUCUGGACAUGUCAGGGUGCUCUAAUCGGGUAAUGGUUUCCCAUGAUUUCAGCCUGCCUAGUUGUCUGGAAAAGCUAAAUAUAAGUAAAUGUCCAUGGUUAGAAUACCUUCCGCAGUCAUUCUGUAAGUUGAGUCGCUUGGAGAUGUUGAAUGUAAGCCAUUGUGAGCAACUGUCGAGACUUCCUGAGCGAUUGGAUCAGCUCAAGAAUCUCACAUAUCUGAACAUUGCGGGAUGCUGUAGUCUGAAGAUGCUAUCUGAUGAUUUCGAGCAGCUGUCCUCUGUAAGGGCAGUGAAUGCAUCAUAUUGUUCAGCAUUAGAUGGCAAGGCAGUGGACAAGCUUGUUCAGAUGAAGAGCCUGCUGGUAUUGAAUAUCCGGAAAAGCCCCAUGUUGAGAAACAGGUGGGAAGAAGUAAAAGUAAAAGGAAUACAUGCUUUGAUCGUGCUAGUGGAGGACGGGGAAAGCAGUUGGCUUGAACAUCUCCUGUCCACUGCAUUAUUUCAUAGAGAGAGUGGAUUCCUUGAUCGUGAUGGUGAUCUAAAGUUUGUUGCUCAGUGGUCACCCGGCCCAGGACCGGUGGCAUUUGUAUUGACCAUGUGUGAUCUGUCUUUGCCUUCAAAUAAGGCAGCCUUCGAGAUGGUAAGACAGAAAAUUGGAGAGUUGAUUUCCAAGAGAUUUCAAAUUGUGUACGUAUGUGUGGGGCAAAUGCUAGAUGAGGACGGCAUCCGCCGAAGAAUAUUACCCUUCCAUAUUUCCACUCGUGCAUGGAUUGCUCCUGCCGAGAAAUGGAAUACCUUAGCAGGAUAUUCUAUUUUCCAUCUUUCAUUGGCAGCGGAUCGCGAUCGGCCAAUGCUGGUGCCAAGUCUUCAUACUCUUAUUGCCAGCGCAUACGUAACGCUUGAUAAGUGUGUGAAGGAUAUAAAGUUGAGGUUGCCGGAGCUAGACGGUGGUGAAGAUAAAGGUGUUGAAGGAUUGCAAGAUGUGGAUGGUAGUUUUAGAAGACUGUUCUUGCCUCUAAUACAAUGGCACUAAAAAUUUGGUCAAUUUUGAGAGGUCAGCUAUGGGAUCGUCACAAAUAGUCACAUGGACAUUCAUGUUGUCUUAGUAGCUUUGGAGAAAGCUUGGUGCAACAAGUGGUAGGAGUACACCACGUACUUUUCAGUCGAUUCCAUGGUCAUGAGUAUUUUCACCACUGGAGGGCUUAUCAAGGGUUGAGAUGUCCCAACUUGGUGACAUCAUGCUUUCGCCCAUUGACUUUGGCCUAGAUAGCUUUGCGUUUACUCCACCUACCUCAAGGACAUCGCGUGUGAGAAAGCCAUCCUCUAGCACUCCGAAGCAGAAAAAGAUAUCCUCCUAGACACCCAAAUGAUCGAAG